GGGGGUAUGGCUCAGUGGUUGAAAACAGGCUUAGCAUGCAUGAGAUCCCGGGUUCAAUCCCCAGUACCUCCA
RNAcentral lists this transfer RNA (72 nucleotides) under Bos taurus (domestic cattle). It matches the Rfam family "tRNA". From Rfam's summary of the family: Transfer RNA (tRNA) molecules are approximately 80 nucleotides in length. Their secondary structure includes four short double-helical elements and three loops (D, anti-codon, and T loops). Further hydrogen bonds mediate the characteristic L-shaped molecular structure. tRNAs have two regions of fundamental functional importance: the anti-codon, which is responsible for specific mRNA codon recognition, and the 3' end, to which the tRNAs corresponding amino acid is attached (by aminoacyl-tRNA synthetases). tRNAs cope with the degeneracy of the genetic code in two manners: having more than one tRNA (with a specific anti-codon) for a particular amino acid; and 'wobble' base-pairing, i.e. permitting non-standard base-pairing at the 3rd anti-codon position. Lineage: Eukaryota; Metazoa; Chordata; Mammalia; Artiodactyla; Bovidae. RNAcentral also lists the same sequence under 5 other names. The record is from Rfam by way of RNAcentral.